UGUUCUAUGGCCGAACUGGUAAAGGCAUUGCCGAUCACAAGCAGGGUUGCGGGUUCGAGUCCCGCUGGAACGG
Molecule: transfer RNA, 73 nt
Organism: Operophtera brumata (winter moth)
Lineage: Eukaryota; Metazoa; Arthropoda; Insecta; Lepidoptera; Geometridae
Rfam family: tRNA
About the family: Transfer RNA (tRNA) molecules are approximately 80 nucleotides in length. Their secondary structure includes four short double-helical elements and three loops (D, anti-codon, and T loops).
Source: Rfam